Molecule: long non-coding RNA, 1518 nt
Organism: Hydractinia symbiolongicarpus
Lineage: Eukaryota; Metazoa; Cnidaria; Hydrozoa; Anthoathecata; Hydractiniidae
Exons: 2
Source: RefSeq, a predicted model, not a curated record
AGCUGUUAGCGCAUAAAAACUGAUCCUUAUCGGCCUUUGUUUCGCCGUUGCUAUGUGACUUUAUAUUUGCUACGAGUAUAUUUCUCUUUCUCGUUAACCAUAAGAUAAACUAAGAUUAACUAUAAGAACGCAUGAACAAAACUAUGUUAAACAAAGUAUCAACCCAACAUAUUACUAUAGAAUUUGUAACAUAUUUUUAAUAACCAUCUCUAUUUCUGUUUGAAUUUUGCCUUUUAUUUUUUUUUAUUGGUGGCAGAGAACACGGCUAUACACGCCGUUGAACUAAAAUAAAAGGUUGCCAAUUGGAGUAAUUUAGGGUCGGUGGGAGAAGGGAUGAUAAUGUGGUUCUUUUAUAUUUACACCACACAAAAAUAAUUUCACAAAAUUUGUUCAUCACACUACGCCAAUUUCUGUGCUUAGAGGUUAGUAGAAAAUUUAUCUUUGCAUAGAAUUUAUAACUUCUUAAAAAAUGACAAAAAUAGAUCAACAAAGAUAUUUUCAAGUAAUCAUAACGCUAUGUCAAUAUAACGGUUUUAUGUAUCUUAGAAUGACACAUUAAAAAAGAGUGUGAAAAUUCCAAACUUCAUUGAAAAUAAUUAACAUUUUUAUGUAAAAUAACUUAAACCUUACGUAGGAUUUUCUAACCUUAAAUGUACAGAAACAGUAAGUUUCAAUCAUAUGAAUCAUAAAUUUAAGAUUUGUGCAUUCUGUAAAAAAAAAAAUAAUCACUGUUUAUCAUACUCUGUAUCAUCAGAAAUAUUGCGCAAACUACAGAAUAUGUAAUAUGUAAAAUAGAAUAUGUAAGUAAUAACUAUACUUACUAAAACUAGUUAAACUUGUUUCUUGAUGACGUUUUUAAAGCCUACGCUAGAAGAAUAGCCUAAAGGAUCAAUUUAUUGCAGUAAUCUUAUAUAUUAAGAUUGGAGUUUGCCACUACUAUUGGUCAACUAAAGAAAAUACAUUCGUUCCAAAAAGCUUGCAGUAAUAAAAAACGGAAUCAAUAUGGAUAAAAACUCAAAAUCUAUUAAAAGUACUGGUGCUUCUUUAAGAAAAAUGGGAGAUAGUUUACAAAAGAAAUACGAAACCAAGAAGAAAUAUUCCUCAACAUCUUCUUCGUCAUCUUCAUCAUCAUACAAAAACAAGACAAGCUACAGUAGUACCAGUAAAACGAAAAAAAAUGGAAAGUAGAUGACAUUUGCUGGAAGAUGAUGUUUCUCAUAAGCGAAGUCGCUGAAAACGAUCUUUAUGAGGAUGUUAAAAAAAUGACUGCUGAAAUAACAACGAGCAUGUUUCAAUUUCAUCAAGACGUGCACAGACAUCCGUUGUUUUGAACGAUUAUAAGGGAAAAUGACAAUUAGAAUGAAAAAGACAUUCUGGCGAGAUUGCCAACUUAUUGUGAUUUUUAUGUUGUACAAAUUGUAUGUUUUAUGAUUUAAAUGUGUUUCUGCACAUUGCAGGUUAGAAAGUUACUUUAUAUAAAAAUCUUAAUUAACUUUCAAUAAAGUGUGGCAAGUUCAU